Long non-coding RNA from Hypanus sabinus (Atlantic stingray), 2570 nucleotides. RefSeq lists it as uncharacterized. The transcript has 3 exons. The record is from RefSeq and is a predicted model, not a curated record. Lineage: Eukaryota; Metazoa; Chordata; Chondrichthyes; Myliobatiformes; Dasyatidae.
AUAAGCCACACCCUCACUACAUAAACCAAUGUGCAAAAUAAGGUAAAUCUACAAAUAGUGAAAAAAAGGUACUAAGAAGAUGAGUUGUAGAAUCCCUGGAAGUGAGUCUAUAGGUUGUGGAAUCAGUUCAGGGUUGAGGUGAGUGAAGUUAUCCACGCCAGCUCAGGAGUUUGAUGGUUGAAGGGUAAUAACUGUUCCUGAACCUGGAAGUGUAGGAUCUCCAGCAACUCUACCUCCUGCACAAAGCAAGCCUCAAUUUCGGGAAAGAACAGGAAGUACACCAUUGAAAAUAGUGAUUGACAGGCAAAGCAAGCUGCAGGAGAUGGCUAUAAUGAGGCAGUAUCAUAUAUUGAUUGACAUCUCCUUUGAAGAGCUAUAUCUACUCUCCUAGUUUCUGCCUUGAUCCCUGCAAUCUUCUCCAUAUCUUGGCUAAAUAUAUUAUGUUUAUCUUAUAAUGAGGUACCUUAUAAUGCUUCCCUAAGUGCAAUUAGCUAACUAGCCCAAUAAAGUAAGGAAAUCAGCCCACAUCUUUGUGAUAGCCAAAGAAAGUAAAAAAGAAGUCUUUGUAACUCCAGUUGCAGUGAGGUCCUUUUAUUGUUUAGUUAAUGAGUAAAUUCUUCACUGAAGCAUUUCACCCGCUGCUGCCUUUAAGGAGUUUGUAUGUUAUCCCCACGACCACGUGGGUUUCCUCCAGGUGCUCCGUUUCCUCCCAAUGUCCAAAGACCUAGCAGUUGGUAGGUUAAUUGGGCACUGUUUAUUGUUCUAUGAUUGGACUAGGUUGCUGGGAGGUAUGUCUUGGAGGGCUGGAUCUCGAUAUUGAGAUCUCCAUGUGUAUCUCCAUAAAAAUUAAAAAAGAAAGCUAUUUAUCUGAAAUAAACUUCCCAAAAAUAAUUUCAUGCUGCUUAAUACUUAUAACAGUUGUUUCAAAGUAGUAAACAUGCUGGUAGAUCAUAGAGUCAGAGAACAUUACAACAUGAAAAUAGGCCCUUCAGCCCAUCUAGUCCAGGCCAAAUUAUUACUCGGCCUAGUCCUGUUGACUUACACUUGGCUCGUAGCCCUCUAAACCCUGUCCUAUCUGUGUACUUAUCUAAACUUUUAAAUGUUGCAAUCAAACCCAUUUCCACUGAAAGCUCGUCCAACACUCACACCACCCUCUGAGUGAAGAAGUUUCCCUUAAAUAUUUCAUCUUUCGCCCUUAACCUACGACCUCUAGUUCUAGUCACUUACUACCUUAGUGGGAAAACACCCUAUCUAUACCCCUCAUUGUUCUGCAAACCCCGUAAAACCAUUCUCAUGUGUUCUAGGGAAUGAAGUCCCAACAUUCAACCUUUCUUUAUAACUCAGGCCAUCAACUCCCAGCAACAUCCUUAUAAAUUUUCUCUGUACUCUUUCAAUCUUGCUGAUAACUUUCCUGUCGGAAGAUAAGCAGAACAGCACACAAUACUCCAAAUUUGUCCCAAGCACCUCAGUGCUCUACCGCUCACUGUGUAUGUCUGUUUAGAUCUUCCGAAGUGCAACACCUCACACUUGCAUGUAUUAAAUUCCAUCUGGUAUUUUUCAGUACUUUUUUUCCAGCUGGUCCAGAUUCCUCUGCAAGGUUUGACAGUCAUCCUUGCUGUCCACUAUGCUUCCAGUCUUGGUGUCAUCCAAAAAAUCUUGAGCGACACAGACUGGGAAACGCAGCAAGUCAGGCAGCAUCUAUGAGGGAAUAAGCAGUCAGCAUAUUGGGCUGAAACCCUUCAUUAGGACUCCUGAUCGUUUACUCCCCUCCAUAGAUGCUGCCUGACUUGCUGAGUUUAUUUAUUUAACGAUACAGCGUGGAAUAGGCCCUUCUGGCCCUUCGAGUUCACUGCCCCGUAACCCCGGACAAUUCUGAUUUAACCCUAACCUCAUUAUGGGGCAAUUUACAGUGACCAGUUAACCUAUCCGGAAUGUCUUUGGACUGAGGGAGGAAACAGGAGUACUUGGGGAAAAGCCAUGCAUUUCAGGGGGAAGAUGUGCAGAGACUCCUGACGGAUACUGCUGCUACUGAACUCUGAACUCGGACACUCCAAGCUGUAAUAGCAUCGUGCUAAACACCACACUACCAUGGCACACAGAUAUUCUGUGCGCGUUGCAAAAGGCACAUUGUGUUCUGUUUAGACCUUGUUGGUCUUCCAGUGUCAGGAGGAACUUACAUGCAAGUACAACAGCAAAGUGCAAGAACACAUCCCGAGGGGUGCAAUGAUGCCUGGUGCAUUAACUGUAAAGGCUCAGCGCGAAGAAAUGCAUUUUGGGGUCCUACCAUCUCUGCACAUCAUGGUUGGAGAUCUUUCUUGGUUAGAAAAUAUGGAGGAUCUUCUGGAGGCUCAUGGUGUGGAAUGACGACAGCUUGGCAAUGUCAUUCUCUGUCUUGCGCCAGCAUUUUGACCUGUAUAAGAGUGUAGAUGGAACACAGCUUUGGUACAGCUUCACCUUGGUGUGGACGCUGUACUUGUUUGAUCCCCAUUUGUUGCUGAUUGAUCUGAAGAUGCUUCUAGCUUUGAUCUGAAACCCAUUAAUGGCAUCAAUGUAUUGGAGGAAUGUAUUGA